This 421-nucleotide ribosomal RNA is filed under the name uncultured bacterium. RNAcentral describes it as "bacterial SSU rRNA". It matches the Rfam family "Bacterial small subunit ribosomal RNA", at positions 776 to 1185 of the family's 1533-position model. The record is from RNAcentral.
AAAUAGAUACCCGGGUAGUCCACACCGUAAACGUUGGGCGCUAGGUGUGGGAUCCAUUCCACGGGUUCCGUGCCGCAGCUAACGCAUUAAGCGCCCCGCCUGGGGAGUACGGCCGCAAGGCUAAAACUCAAAGGAAUUGACGGGGGCCCGCACAAGCGGCGGAGCAUGCGGAUUAAUUCGAUGCAACGCGAAGAACCUUACCUGGGUUUGACAUACACCGGAAGCCUCCAGAGAGUGGGGGUUCGUUCUUUGUAUACUGGUGUACAGGUGGUGCAUGGCGUGUCGUCAGCUCGUGUCGUGAGAUGUUGGGUUAACGUCCGCAACGAGCGCACCUCGUCCUAUGUUGCAGCGGUUAGUGCCGGGACGUCAUAGGAGACGUCGUCCGGGUCGAACGUACGGAGGAAGGUAGGGGUAGUGACGU